This 736-nucleotide non-coding RNA is filed under the name Psyllidae sp. EMHAU-2015-Zz060501. Lineage: Eukaryota; Metazoa; Arthropoda; Insecta; Hemiptera; Psyllidae. The record is from RNAcentral.
UAAAUUAAUUUUUUAUUUCUUUUGAUUACAUGAAAAUUUUUGUAAACUGUAAUUUUAAUAAUCUAAUAAUCAGUAAUUGAAAUUGUUUUUUAAUGAAAAUUAGAUGUAUAAAUUGAUUUAGAGCUCGACUAAUUUUGUGCCAGCAGUUGCGGUUAUACAAUUGAGUUAAUAGAAUUUUAAAAAUAAAUUAAUUAUUACUUUGAUUUUUUAAAUUAAAGUUGAAAUUUAAAAGGUAAAAUUUAAUUUUUUAGACUUAUUUUUCAUGUAUAAUUGAGAAACUAGUAAGUAAACCAGGAUUAGAUACCCUGUUAUUAAAGUGUAAAUUUAUUGGAGUAGUAAAAGUUAAGAUCUUGAAACUCAAAAAAUUUGGCGGUAUUUUAUCUUAUUAGAGGAACCUGUUUAUUAAUUGAUAUUCCACAACUUAAAAUUACUUUUAUUAUAUUAUUUGUAUACCGCUGUCAUGAAUCUACUAAAAAGUUUAUUUUCAAUUUUUUUUAUGUGUGGUAUGUUAGGUCAAGGUGCAGUAUGUAAAAGACUAAAAUGGGUUACAUUAUUUAAUAUGAAUGAAUUAUUUGAAUUUAUAAAAAAAUAUGAAAUAGGAUUUAUUAGUAAAAAGAUUAUUAGAGAUUUUAUAUGAAUAAAGAUUCUAAAAUAUGUACACAUUGCCCGUCGCUCUUGUUUAAAAUAAGAUAAGUCGUAACAUAGUAGAUGUACUGGAAAGUGUCUCUGGAACUAA